UCUCUAAAUCCGCUCCUCUUAUCUUUUCUCUCGGACACCCUCAAACCCUUAUCAGUGCCACCUUCUUCGGCCACCUCUCUCGCCAGAAACCAUGGCCUCUCAUCAUCUCAUGGCCUCUGCUUCACCUCACACUGGUUUUACACCACCCCGUGGGCCUCAGGUGAACCUGGAGUGGUUCAACUCUUAUCCAUGGUCUUUCAUGCCAUUUUUCGGCCAUCCAUGGCUGUUCGAGUAAGAUCUAUGACUUUUUUCGACUAAUAUCGGUGACAUUUUAAGAUCCUCUCAUCUUCUUUGGGUUCUCUGAAUCCCUUACUCUUG
This 318-nucleotide long non-coding RNA is filed under the name Nicotiana benthamiana. Its description in RNAcentral is "long non-coding RNA (NBEN_LNC005514)". The record is from RNAcentral. Lineage: Eukaryota; Viridiplantae; Streptophyta; Magnoliopsida; Solanales; Solanaceae.